RNAcentral lists this transfer RNA (76 nucleotides) under Clostridia bacterium. RNAcentral's name for it is "tRNA-Val". It matches the Rfam family "tRNA". Rfam says of the family: Transfer RNA (tRNA) molecules are approximately 80 nucleotides in length. Their secondary structure includes four short double-helical elements and three loops (D, anti-codon, and T loops). RNAcentral also lists the same sequence under 1 other name. Lineage: Bacteria; Bacillati; Bacillota; Clostridia. The record is from RNAcentral.
GGUCGUUUAGCGCAGCUGGUAGCGCAUCCGCUUGACGUGCGGGAGGUCACAGGUUCAAGUCCUGUAACGACCACCA